This 71-nucleotide transfer RNA is filed under the name Candidatus Woesearchaeota archaeon. Its description in RNAcentral is "tRNA-Gly". It matches the Rfam family "tRNA". Rfam says of the family: Transfer RNA (tRNA) molecules are approximately 80 nucleotides in length. Their secondary structure includes four short double-helical elements and three loops (D, anti-codon, and T loops). Lineage: Archaea; Nanobdellati; Candidatus Woesearchaeota. The record is from RNAcentral.
ACGGUAGUGGUCUAGUGGUAUGAUUCGAGCUUCCCAAGCUUGCGAUGCGGGUUCGAUUCCCGCCUACCGUA